RNAcentral lists this ribosomal RNA (478 nucleotides) under uncultured bacterium. RNAcentral describes it as "partial 16S ribosomal RNA". It matches the Rfam family "Bacterial small subunit ribosomal RNA", at positions 28 to 523 of the family's 1533-position model. The record is from RNAcentral.
GACGAACGCUGGCGGCGUGCUUAACACAUGCAAGUCGAACGGUAAGGCCCUUCGGGGUACACGAGUGGCGAACGGGUGAGUAACACGUGGGUGAUCUGCCCUGCACUUCGGGAUAAGCCUGGGAAACUGGGUCUAAUACCGGAUAGGACCACUGCCUGCAUGGGUGGUGGUGGAAAGCUUUUGCGGUGUGGGAUGGGCCCGCGGCCUAUCAGCUUGUUGGUGGGGUGAUGGCCUACCAAGGCGACGACGGGUAGCCGGCCUGAGAGGGUGACCGGCCACACUGGGAGUGAGGUACGGCCCAGACUCCUACGGGAGGCAGCAGUGGGGAAUAUUGCACAAUGGGCGCAAGCCGGAUGCAGCGACGCCGCGUGAGGGAUGACGGCCUUCGGGUUGUAAACCUCUUUCAGCACCGACGAAGCGCAAGUGACGGUAGGUGCAGAAGAAGGACUGGCCAACUACGUGCCAGCAGCCGCAGUAA